CUUAUCCCAAUCUACAGGCAUUUGCUAAAAGGUCAAACACGGGAUCAAGCCAAAACAGAGAUGACAGCAAUACAAUAAGAAACC
Molecule: long non-coding RNA, 84 nt
Filed under: Junco hyemalis (dark-eyed junco)
Lineage: Eukaryota; Metazoa; Chordata; Aves; Passeriformes; Passerellidae
Description: lncRNA (ENSJHYG00000018100.1)
Source: RNAcentral